Molecule: non-coding RNA, 680 nt
Organism: Microcebus murinus (gray mouse lemur)
Lineage: Eukaryota; Metazoa; Chordata; Mammalia; Primates; Cheirogaleidae
Source: RefSeq, a predicted model, not a curated record
CUCACUGGACACCAGAUCCAAACAUUACCUAGUUAGUCCUGGCUGCACCUUGACUGAUGAAAUGGAUUAUCUUAUGAAGUAGGCCCCUGAGCUGACCCCAGCGUCUGACCUGUUGAAAAGGGGCAGGGCCCCAAGAUAAGAAUUAGUAGCUGGCUGCUGUGCUGCUGACGCUGACAUACCCGCACCUCGGGAGCAGCACAGGAGCGCCUAUGGAACAGGCCCUGAAACUUCCCGAAGUUCUCCACCCGGCAUCAGAGCCUUCCAUAGACCUCACAGUGUCAUGGCCCCGUCCCCUGCCUUGCUUCUUCAGUUGAGUCACCACACAGCUGCCCUGGCCAGCUCUGCUGCCCAUCCCAAUCCUUCUUACUCUCUUGGUCAGCCGUUUCUCUGUCCUCCUACUGGACUCCGGCAACCCGUCUGGUGUGCUCCAGCCUCUCCCUGGUCCUCGGUUCUAGGCUCUGUCACCCUGUGUUGGCCCUAGAAGCUCAGCUGGAGCCCGUUCUGCUUUUGUUAUCCAAUCAUUCACUGACCCAUACACUAACACAUCACACACCCACUGCUCCCCUGCCCGUCUGAUGAGCAUUGGUUUAUCAUCUGUUCUGUCCAGGUCCUGUGCUUAAGGCUGGGAAGCCAGAAAUCAUGAAAAAUUCAUAAUAAAGUAAAACUAGAUUUUUUUUUGA